CGGCGUGCCUAAUACAUGCAAGUCGAACGAGGGUAGCUUGCGACCCUAGUGGCGAACGGGUGAGGUAACACGUAGGUAACCUGCCCUUAAGCUUGGGAUACCCAGAGGAAACUUUGGCUAAUACCGGAUAACAACAGAAGAGGCAUCUCUUCAGUUUGAAAGGCCCUUUACGGGGUCACUUAAGGAUGGACCUGCGGCGCAUUAGCUAGUUGGUGAGAUAACAGCCCACCAAGGCGAGGAUGCGUAGCCGACCUGAGAGGGUGAUCGGCCACAUUGGAACUGAGACACGGUCCAAACUCCUACGGGAGGCAGCAGUAAGGAGUUUUCGGCAAUGGGGGAAACCCUGACCGAGCAACGCCGCGUGAGUGAAUGACGGCCCUAUGGGUUGUAAAGCUCUGUUGUAAGGGACGAAUGAUUCGCUUAGGAAAUGAAGCGAGUUUGACGGUACCUUACCAGAAGGCCACGGCUAACUACGUGCCAGCCGCCGC
This 488-nucleotide ribosomal RNA is filed under the name uncultured bacterium. RNAcentral describes it as "bacterial SSU rRNA". It matches the Rfam family "Bacterial small subunit ribosomal RNA", at positions 40 to 518 of the family's 1533-position model. The record is from RNAcentral.